Molecule: ribosomal RNA, 422 nt
Filed under: uncultured bacterium
Lineage: Bacteria
Description: bacterial SSU rRNA
Rfam family: Bacterial small subunit ribosomal RNA
Source: RNAcentral
UAAGGAAUAUUGGACAAUGGAGGCAACUCUGAUCCAGCCAUGCCGCGUGAAGGAAUAAGGCCCUAUGGGUUGUAAACUUCUUUUAGACGGGACAAAACCCCUUUACGUGUAAAGGGUUGAUGGUACUGUCAGAAUAAGCAUCGGCUAACUUCGUGCCAGCAGCCGCGGUAAUACGGAGGGUGCAAGCGUUAUCCGGAUUUACUGGGUUUAAAGGGUGCGUAGGCGGAUGAAUAAGUCAGUGGUGAAAUCUCCGAGCUUAACUCGGAAACUGCCGUUGAUACUAUUUGUCUUGAAUAUUGUGGAGGUAAGCGGAAUAUGUCAUGUAGCGGUGAAAUGCUUAGAUAUGACAUAGAACACCAAUUGCGAAGGCAGCUUGCUACACAAUCAUUGACGCUGAGGCACGAAAGCGUGGGGAUCAAACA